CCUACGGGAGGCAGCAGUGAGGAAUAUUGGUCAAUGGACGAGAGUCUGAACCAGCCAAGUAGCGUGAAGGAUGACUGCCCUAUGGGUUGUAAACUUCUUUUAUAUGGGAAUAAAAUGUUCCACGUGUGGGAUUUUGUAUGUACCAUAUGAAUAAGGAUCGGCUAACUCCGUGCCAGCAGCCGCGGUAAUACGGAGGAUCCGAGCGUUAUCCGGAUUUAUUGGGUUUAAAGGGAGCGUAGGUGGAUUGUUAAGUCAGUUGUGAAAGUUUGCGGCUCAACCGUAAAAUUGCAGUUGAAACUGGCAGUCUUGAGGACAGUAGAGGUGGGCGGAAUUCGUGGUGUAGCGGUGAAAUGCUUAGAUAUCGCGAAGAACUCCGAUUGCGAAGGCAGUUCACUGGACUGCAACUGACACUGAGGCUCGAAAGUGUGGGUAUCAAACAGGAUUAGAUACCCCAGUAGUC
This 460-nucleotide ribosomal RNA is filed under the name uncultured bacterium. RNAcentral describes it as "partial 16S ribosomal RNA". It matches the Rfam family "Bacterial small subunit ribosomal RNA", at positions 338 to 795 of the family's 1533-position model. The record is from RNAcentral.